GCUUAAUGGUCAAUAUAUAGAUAUACAGUUGGAUCGACAAAUUUCGUUUGAUAUUCCUUCUUUUGGAUCACCUGUGAUUAAACGUAACCUUUGCCCUAUUGUUUUGAAUAAUUUUAGAGCUUGGGGUCCAAAUGAUCCACAGGUGUCUUGAGACUAUCAGAACAAAAGAUUAUUAAGAUGGAGGUGACAGAAAAAGAUCUGGCAAAACGAUCUACACAUGUAUUAUCCAAAACGAGGGGUAUAUCUUGGUUCCAAGGGACUAGCGUUGUGAUAAAUUAAUUUUAAAUUAUUUUUAUUUAUUUUAAAUUUUGUUUAAAUAUCUGAUUGUGUUUGCAAAGGAUAUCCAACAAUAAUAUAAUUUCCCGUAGAAAUAUAUUUUUUUUCUUAAAUUGUUACAUUGCUGGGUUUCUAAUUUUGUAACCAAAUUUAUGUAAUAAACCUAUUUUUAAUAUUA
Molecule: long non-coding RNA, 454 nt
Organism: Gordionus sp. m RMFG-2023
Lineage: Eukaryota; Metazoa; Nematomorpha; Gordioida; Chordodea; Parachordodidae
Exons: 2
Source: RefSeq, a predicted model, not a curated record